Molecule: unclassified non-coding RNA, 338 nt
Filed under: soil metagenome
Description: partial contains 5.8S ribosomal RNA, internal transcribed spacer 2, and large subunit ribosomal RNA
Rfam family: 5.8S ribosomal RNA (bases 1-120)
Source: RNAcentral
GAUGAAGAACGCAGCGAAAUGCGAUAAGUAAUGUGAAUUGCAGAAGUCAGUGAAUCAUCGAAUCUUUGAACGCACAUUGCGCCCGGUAGUAUUCUGCCGGGCAUGCCUGUUCGAGCGUCAUUUCAACCAUCAAGCCCCAGCGCUUGUGUUGGGGGCCUGCGGCUGCCGCAGCCCCCUAAAAGCAGUGGCGGGCUCGCUAUCACACCGAGUGCAGUAGUUCAUCUUCUCUCCGGUCUUGUGAGGCGGGUUCCGGCCGUGAAACACCCCACUACAUUCAAGGUUGACCUCGGAUCAGGUAGGAAUACCCGCUGAACUUAAGCAUAUCAAUAAGCGGAGGA